RNAcentral lists this ribosomal RNA (1370 nucleotides) under uncultured bacterium. Its description in RNAcentral is "bacterial SSU rRNA". It matches the Rfam family "Bacterial small subunit ribosomal RNA". The record is from RNAcentral.
AGAGUUUGAUCCUGGCUCAGGACGAACGCUGGCGGCGCGCCUAACACAUGCAAGUCGAACGAGCGAGAGAGAGCUUGCUUUCUCGAGCGAGUGGCGAACGGGUGAGUAACGCGUGAGGAACCUGCCUCAAAGAGGGGGACAACAGUUGGAAACGACUGCUAAUACCGCAUAAGCCCACGGUGCCGCAUGGCACAGAGGGAAAAGGAGUAAUCCGCUUUGAGAUGGCCUCGCGUCCGAUUAGCUAGUUGGUGAGGUAAUGGCCCACCAAGGCGACGAUCGGUAGCCGGACUGAGAGGUUGAACGGCCACAUUGGGACUGAGACACGGCCCAGACUCCUACGGGAGGCAGCAGUGGGGAAUAUUGCACAAUGGGGGAAACCCUGAUGCAGCGACGCCGCGUGGAGGAAGAAGGUCUUCGGAUUGUAAACUCCUGUUGUUGGGGAAGAUAAUGACGGUACCCAACAAGGAAGUGACGGCUAACUACGUGCCAGCAGCCGCGGUAAAACGUAGGUCACAAGCGUUGUCCGGAAUUACUGGGUGUAAAGGGAGCGCAGGCGGGAAGACAAGUUGGAAGUGAAAUCUAUGGGCUCAACCCAUAAACUGCUUUCAAAACUGUUUUUCUUGAGUAGUGCAGAGGUAGGCGGAAUUCCCGGUGUAGCGGUGGAAUGCGUAGAUAUCGGGAGGAACACCAGUGGCGAAGGCGGCCUACUGGGCACCAACUGACGCUGAGGCUCGAAAGUGUGGGUAGCAAACAGGAUUAGAUACCCUGGUAGUCCACACCGUAAACGAUGAUUACUAGGUGUUGGAGGAUUGACCCCUUCAGUGCCGCAGUUAACACAAUAAGUAAUCCACCUGGGGAGUACGACCGCAAGGUUGAAACUCAAAGGAAUUGACGGGGGCCCGCACAAGCAGUGGAGUAUGUGGUUUAAUUCGACGCAACGCGAAGAACCUUACCAAGUCUUGACAUCCCUUGACAGGCAUAGAAAUAUGUUUUCUCUUCGGAGCAAGGAGACAGGUGGUGCAUGGUUGUCGUCAGCUCGUGUCGUGAGAUGUUGGGUUAAGUCCCGCAACGAGCGCAACCCUUAUGGUCAGUUACUACGCAAGAGGACUCUGGCCAGACUGCCGUUGACAAAACGGAGGAAGGUGGGGAUGACGUCAAAUCAUCAUGCCCUUUAUGACUUGGGCUACACACGUACUACAAUGGCGUUAAACAAAGAGAAGCAAGACCGCGAGGUGGAGCAAAACUCAGAAACAACGUCCCAGUUCGGACUGCAGGCUGCAACUCGCCUGCACGAAGUCGGAAUUGCUAGUAAUCGUGGAUCAGCAUGCCACGGUGAAUACGUUCCCGGGCCUUGUACACACCGCCCGUCA